CUUUCAGCUUUCUCCACCCUCUAGUGGAUCAAGCUGUCCACUGGCCUCCACUCCUGUUAGCCUGAGCCUCAGAAGAAAUUAAAUGAGGCAGGGAGGCCAUGCGGUGAUCAUUCCAUUACGUUCUCUCUGUUCCCUUACCAUGUGUGAGUCACACUAUCACUUUUAGGAAGUGAGGCAUCUUAUGGAACCAAUAGUUAAUCUCAAGGUGGCAUGAAAGAAGGGCAAGGGGACGUGGCCGAAUUAUCCCUGAUCCUUAUGUUUGCAGAGACCCUCACUGGUGACGCCCCAAGUGGGGGACAGAUGAAUUGUGGGGAACCUUGACCCUGUUCCAGGUAAGCUUCUGAUUUAUGGUUCAUUGUGCUUUCUAACGAAUAAUUUUUACACAAUAAUUCCACCAGUAAGCACCAAACCUUCUUCUUGGGAAUGCAAUUAAGGGAAAAAUUAGCAAUAAAUUGUUUUCAGUACUUAACCCAGCUCCAAAUUUAUGGUUGCUGGAAUUUAUUGUUUCAGAGGCCUGAAAAAUGGCAAUUAAUUUUAUCCCAUUUCCUGUCAUUCACCCUCAAAAUUGAAAUGUAAAUAAAGAACCGUCCACGGUCUCCGGUUUUCCUGCUCUUUGCAAAGCUCCAGACUAAGCCCGUCCAGCCAGUUACCACUGCCUGCUCCUGAACCGUGGAAGCAGAGAGGGAAACACUCCUUCUCUCCAGGCAUCGCCUUUCCUUCUCCGGUUGCUGCUGAAGUGCACGCAGCUCUGAGGCGGUCUCGGUGCAGGGAUGUGCCUCACAGGAGAGAGUAAACGAGCAAACGCUAAGUUAGAUUCUGACGCCCAUGCUGGAUGUAUCCGUCUGCCCUAUAAAUAAGCACUGAUCACCUCCAUUUUAUUGAACUCAUUUUCCAGGCAAGCAAAGACCACAAGAUUCUUCUGCACAUUUUCUCUUUACACCCUCUAGUGCUGCCGCCAGUGUCAGCUCCGACAGAUUUAUAGCCCAUUCAUUCAUGGGAACAAAAACCCUGCCUGCCACGGCUGGUCAUGGGACCCGCAAUAGCAGUUAGUUCAAAAGAUAGCAGCUACAAUAGCUCACCUCUCCAUUCAGCGCUACACAGCCGCCACUACUUUGGAGGUAAUAAAUGCUUCUUGUUGUGU
This 1141-nucleotide long non-coding RNA is filed under the name Lynx pardinus (Iberian lynx). Lineage: Eukaryota; Metazoa; Chordata; Mammalia; Carnivora; Felidae. The record is from RNAcentral.